GUGAGGAAUUUUCCGCAAUGGGCGAAAGCCUGACGGAGCAAUGCCGCGUGAAGGAUGAAGGCCUAUGGGUUGUAAACUUCUUUUCUCAGAAAAGAAUUAUGACGGUAUCUGAGGAAUAAGCAUCGGCUAACUCUGUGUCAGCAGCCGCGGUAAGACAGAGGAUGCAAGCGUUAUCCGGAAUGAUUGGGCGUAAAGCGUCUGUAGGUUGUUUAAAAAGUAUUCUGUCAAAGAUUAGGGCUUAACCCUAGAUAGGCAGAAUAAACUUUUAAGCUAGAGUUUGGUAGAGGCAGAGGGAAUUCCCGGUGGAGCGGUGAAAUGCGUAGAUAUCGGGAGGAACACCAAAGGCGAAGGCACUCUGCUGGGCCAAUACUAACACUGAGAGACGAAAGCGAGGGGAGCAAAUGGGAUUAGAAACCCCUGUAGUCC
Molecule: ribosomal RNA, 426 nt
Filed under: uncultured bacterium
Lineage: Bacteria
Description: bacterial SSU rRNA
Rfam family: Bacterial small subunit ribosomal RNA
Source: RNAcentral